GAUGAACGCUGGCGGCGUGCCUAAUACAUGCAAGUCGAGCGAACAGACGAGGAGCUUGCUCCUCUGACGUUAGCGGCGGACGGGUGAGUAACACGUGGAUAACCUACCUAUAAGACUGGGAUAACUUCGGGAAACCGGAGCUAAUACCGGAUAAUAUAUUGAACCGCAUGGUUCAAUAGUGAAAGACGGUUUUGCUGUCACUUAUAGAUGGAUCCGCGCCGCAUUAGCUAGUUGGUAAGGUAACGGCUUACCAAGGCAACGAUGCGUAGCCGACCUGAGAGGGUGAUCGGCCACACUGGAACUGAGACACGGUCCAGACUCCUACGGGAGGCAGCAGUAGGGAAUCUUCCGCAAUGGGCGAAAGCCUGACGGAGCAACGCCGCGUGAGUGAUGAAGGGCUUCGGAUCGUAAAACUCUGUUAUUAGGGAAGAACAAAUGUGUAAGUAACUAUGCACGUCUUGACGGUACCUAAUCAGAAAGCCACGGCUAACUACGUGC
Molecule: ribosomal RNA, 498 nt
Filed under: uncultured bacterium
Lineage: Bacteria
Description: partial 16S ribosomal RNA
Rfam family: Bacterial small subunit ribosomal RNA
Source: RNAcentral